Molecule: ribosomal RNA, 273 nt
Filed under: uncultured Staphylococcus sp.
Lineage: Bacteria; Bacillati; Bacillota; Bacilli; Caryophanales; Staphylococcaceae
Description: partial 16S ribosomal RNA
Rfam family: Bacterial small subunit ribosomal RNA
Source: RNAcentral
ACGUUAGCGGCUGACGGGUGAGUAACACGUGGGUAACCUACCUAUAAGACUGGGAUAACUUCGGGAAACCGGAGCUAAUACCGGAUAAUAUUUCGAACCGCAUGGUUCGAUAGUGAAAGGUGGUUUUGCUAUCACUUAUAGAUGGACCCGCGCCGUAUUAGCUAGUUGGUAAGGUAACGGCUUACCAAGGCGACGAUACGUAGCCGACCUGAGAGGGUGAUCGGCCACACUGGAACUGAGACACGGUCCAGACUCCUACGGGAGGCAGCAGCC